This 253-nucleotide ribosomal RNA is filed under the name uncultured bacterium. RNAcentral describes it as "partial 16S ribosomal RNA". It matches the Rfam family "Bacterial small subunit ribosomal RNA", at positions 524 to 776 of the family's 1533-position model. The record is from RNAcentral.
UACAGAGGGUGCGAGCGUUAAUCGGAAUUACUGGGCGUAAAGCGCACGUAGGCGGCUUGGUAUGUCGGGUGUGAAAUCCCCGGGCUCAACCUGGGAACUGCGUCCGAAACUGCCUUGCUCGAGUAUGGGAGAGGGAAGUGGAAUUUCCGGUGUAGCGGUGAAAUGCGUAGAUAUCGGAAGGAACAUCAGUGGCGAAGGCGACUUCCUGGACCAAUACCGACGCUCAGGUGCGAAAGCGUGGGGAGCAAACAGG